UACGGAGGGUGCGAGCGUUGUCCGGAAUCACUGGGCGUAAAGGGCGCGUAGGCGGCCUGAUAAGUAGGGGGUGAAAUCCUGCGGCUUAACCGCAGGGCUGCCUUCUAAACUGUCAGGCUCGAGCACAGUAGAGGCAGGUGGAAUUCCCGGUGUAGCGGUGGAAUGCGUAGAGAUCGGGAAGAACAUCAGUGGCGAAGGCGGCGUGCUGGGCUGUUGCUGACGCUGAGGCGCGACAGCGUGGGGAGCAAACAGG
Molecule: ribosomal RNA, 253 nt
Filed under: uncultured bacterium
Lineage: Bacteria
Description: partial 16S ribosomal RNA
Rfam family: Bacterial small subunit ribosomal RNA
Source: RNAcentral